UUUCCUACGGGGGGCAGCAGUGGGGAAUAUUGGGCAAUGGGCGCAAGCCUGACCCAGCAACGCCGCGUGAAGGAAGAAGGCUUUCGGGUUGUAAACUUCUUUUAAGAGGGAAGAGUAGAAGACGGUACCUCUUGAAUAAGCCACGGCUAACUACGUGCCAGCAGCCGCGGUAAUACGUAGGUGGCAAGCGUUGUCCAGAUUUACUGGGUGUAAAGGGCGUGUAGGCGGGAGUGCAAGUCAGAUGUGAAAACUAUGGGCUCAACCCAUAGCCUGCAUUUGAAACUGUACUUCUUGAGUGGUGGAGG
RNAcentral lists this ribosomal RNA (305 nucleotides) under uncultured bacterium. Its description in RNAcentral is "bacterial SSU rRNA". It matches the Rfam family "Bacterial small subunit ribosomal RNA", at positions 335 to 655 of the family's 1533-position model. The record is from RNAcentral.